CAAACUUCACUUUUCAUAGCUGUAAAAGCUCAUGAGUGAUUGUGAUUGGGAACAGUUCUUAUUAAGGAAAAGUGAAAAUUAACUUGUGGGUUAACACAGCAAUAAGAAGAAGAGAAGAUGUUAAGAAUAAUACACUUGUUAUGGUGGAGAGUGAAGAGGAAACACUGAUCUUUGGCUUUAGGGACUGAUCGAGUGAGGUUUUCUGCCCUAGGAUACACCCAGUCAGGAAGCAGUGACUGUGGUCUGUUCCAAUCACGCCUGCAGAUCUGGCCGGGCUAGAAUCCGUUAGUUGAACGACUUAGCCAUUUAGCAGAGACCAGCUGGUUUCUCACAAAAUCCAUUUCCUGUUCUUGAGCAGUCCCAUAAGCUACAUUUUUCUGCCUCCCUUGCAGUAAUGUAUCACCAUAUAGCUGAGUUCUUUUCUCCCACAUGCUGCUGUUCAUCCCCUUUCCCCAUCUGCAAGCUGGAUGUGGAGGACUCUGAGGUCUUAGAAAAUGAUGAAGAAAUAUAUGAAAGGACCGUGGACCCCAGAAUGACCACGUGGAAUGUUUACUGGUGACCAGGAAUACACAUUUUGAACAUAGGCCUUGGAACUUGCAUUGAAAUACACCAGUGGCUUUCCUCAUUCUCCAGUGUGUCAGUAUAUUGGACUUCUCAGACUCCAUGAUUACAAAGGCAGAAGAAGCUCUCCAGAUGUCUUCCAGUAACGUUGAAGUUUUUAUCAGAAUGUUGCAAGGAAACACCAAUUGGGUCACCUGGGAUGACCUUCAAUGACCUGAAGACAUUUACUGAAGGAGCUGUGUUAAGUUUUUUAACAUCUUCUAUUGAGUAAAAGUGAAAAGCAGCUUUUUACUUGGUUGAAACCAAUUGAGAAAGAAAUUCUAUCAAAUAUCAAGUAUGUGCAUGAACUUUUAAAAAGACAAUUUUAUUGACCUAUAUUGAACUUCAUAAGUUUUGCCUAUUAACAAUAAAGCUACUGUGAGCAUUUUUGUACAAGUCUUUACAGAAAUAUACAGACAUGUGCUUUCAUUUCUUUUGGCUAAGCUAGGAGUGAAAUGGUUGUAUCACAUGUUAGGUGUAUGUUUAGCUCUCAAAAGAACUGCCAAACUUUUUAAAAGAAGUGGCUGUACCGUGUGCAUCAACUUUUUUUUUUUUUUUUAUACUUUAAGUUUUAGGGUACAUGUGCACAUUGUGCAGGUUAGUUACAUAUGUAUACGCUGGUGCGCUGCACCCACUAACUCGUCAUCUAGCAUUAGGUAUAUCUCCC
RNAcentral lists this long non-coding RNA (1267 nucleotides) under Homo sapiens (human). RNAcentral's name for it is "HSALNT0210988". Lineage: Eukaryota; Metazoa; Chordata; Mammalia; Primates; Hominidae. The record is from RNAcentral.